Long non-coding RNA from Rosa chinensis, 339 nucleotides. RefSeq lists it as uncharacterized. The record is from RefSeq and is a predicted model, not a curated record. Lineage: Eukaryota; Viridiplantae; Streptophyta; Magnoliopsida; Rosales; Rosaceae. The transcript has 3 exons.
UGGGGACAGACCCGAUCCCUCCCAUUUUCUCUUCUUCUUUCGCCGUUUCUGGUUUUCCGGCGAAUUUGUCGCCGUCCGGCCACCUCAGGACGAACCGCUUGCCAUGGCAUGAUACUCUCUUCCUUCUCUUCCUAGUCAUCUUGUUUUGGCCGGUGGAGGAAGAAUUGAAGGUGUUUGGGGCGUGAACAUUAGGAUGAACAGUAAUCGAAGAAAUUCUUGAUUUUGGGGUUGAUUUUCCGACCACUUUUGCUUGAAAUUGGCUGUCGUUGCAGGACAUACUGAGCCCUCGAGUGAGGAGGACACGAGCAGGCAGCAGGAUUAGCUGCGAGACUCACUUGU